Molecule: ribosomal RNA, 432 nt
Filed under: uncultured bacterium
Lineage: Bacteria
Description: partial 16S ribosomal RNA
Rfam family: Bacterial small subunit ribosomal RNA
Source: RNAcentral
AACGAACGCUGGCGGCAUGCCUAACACAUGCAAGUCGAACGAGACCUUCGGGUCUAGUGGCGCACGGGUGCGUAACGCGUGGGAACCUGCCCUUAGGUUCGGAAUAACUCCCCGAAAGGGGUGCUAAUACCGGAUAAUGUCUUCGGACCAAAGAUUUAUCGCCUUUGGAUGGGCCCGCGUUGGAUUAGCUAGCUGGUAGGGUAAAAGCCUACCAAGGCGACGAUCCAUAGCUGGUCUGAGAGGAUGAUCAGCCACACUGGGACUGAGACACGGCCCAGACUCCUACGGGAGGCAGCAGUGGGGAAUAUUGGACAAUGGGCGAAAGCCUGAUCCAGCAAUGCCGCGUGAGUGAUGAAGGCCUUAGGGUUGUAAAGCUCUUUUACCCGGGAUGAUAAUGACAGUACCGGGAGAAUAAACUCCGGCUAACUCCGU